Long non-coding RNA from Xenia sp. Carnegie-2017, 623 nucleotides. RefSeq lists it as uncharacterized. Lineage: Eukaryota; Metazoa; Cnidaria; Anthozoa; Malacalcyonacea; Xeniidae. The record is from RefSeq and is a predicted model, not a curated record. The transcript has 2 exons.
CACAAUAGUCACAAAUUGAAGUGACAUUGUCGGUGUGUUUUCAAGUACCGAAAGAAAUACUAUGAAUCUUUUACAAAAUGUUUAUGUUGUGUACAAUGCCGUUAAAUUAACUGUAUGUCAGUCCUGUGAAGAAAAUUUUGGAACAAGGAUGUCAAGAAAAUCGUGGGUUCACGAGAAAUGAUGGUAUAAAUGGGCAGUUCGUUAUUGUGUAUAGUUGCAAAACAAAGCGCAGGAAAUGACCUCAGAAGACUUCUUCGGAUCUGCGUAAUCAUGGUAAUGAGAAGAACAGCCCAGAGUUUCGCAAUAUGAAUACUAUAAUCAACUUACAAAACAGAAAUGACAAAACAUCCCUUGCCUUAGAUUAUACAAAUAAGAUAAAGAUUCGUCAGUGGCUUACUAUUCAACUGACACCGAUAGACUAUAGAAAUGAUUAACUACAAUUUGGCAGUAUGAUAAAAAAUAAUCUGCUUUUGUCAUAGUAUAAUCUUGCACUGACAUAUAACUAUGUGGAUUAAUUGACAUAUCGUAGUCGCUCAGAAGUCACAAACUUCUAAAAAUCGAGUUGAAUAGAGACAACAAAGUUGCCUCACGAAAACAACAUAUAUAUAAUUUUUAAUUCAUCA